GACGAACGCUGGCGGCGGGCUUAACACAUGCAAGUCGAACGGAAAGGCCCUGCUUUUGUGGGGUGCUCGAGUGGCGAACGGGUGAGUAACACGUGAGUAACCUGCUCUUGACUUUGGGAUAACUUCAGGAAACUGGGGCUACUCCCGUAUAGCAUCUCCUGUUGCAUGGUGGGGGUUGGAACGUUUCGGCGGUCGGGGAUGGAUGCGCGGCUUAUCAGUUUGUUGGUGGGGUAGUUGCUUACCAAGGCUUUGAAGGGUCGGCGGCCGGAGAGGGUGACCGGGCACAUUGGGACUGAGAGACGGCCCAGACUCCUACGGGAGGCAGCAGUGGGGAAUAUUGCACAAUGGGCGGAAGCCUGAUGCAGCAACGCCGCGUGCGGGAUGACGGUCUUCGGGUUGUAAACCGCUUUAGCCUGUGACGAAGCGUGACUGACGGUAAUGGGUAAAGAAGCACCGGCUAACUACGUG
This 468-nucleotide ribosomal RNA is filed under the name uncultured bacterium. RNAcentral describes it as "partial 16S ribosomal RNA". It matches the Rfam family "Bacterial small subunit ribosomal RNA", at positions 28 to 507 of the family's 1533-position model. The record is from RNAcentral.